Molecule: long non-coding RNA, 281 nt
Filed under: Gopherus agassizii (Agassiz's desert tortoise)
Lineage: Eukaryota; Metazoa; Chordata; Testudines; Testudinidae
Description: lncRNA (ENSGAGG00000004537.1)
Source: RNAcentral
GUUUUGAUUGGAUGGUCUUUUCAUGUAGAGGGGACGUCUCAAGUCGAAGUCACGAUUUCUGCUCAGUUUGGAACCAUCUGUGACUGGAGCCAUGACGCAGCCAGAGCACAUUACUCACUUUUACAGUCACGACUUGGAAAUCCGUGCAGUUUCCAACCAAAAUUACACCGCCACCAUUGAAUUAUUUAAUAGGAUCCAGUUAAGGGAUCCGCAACUGUCGCUGGGCUUGGAGUGGAUUUGAAACAUCUUCUGAAUAAACCAGGAAGGCGCUGCCUUUUCCA